AUAAACUCUUUUGGCAGAGGUAGAUGCAAGCUGCUUCCCAGGCCCCCGGAGAGACGUGCCGAACAAGGAGGGCGAGGCAUCCCGAAAUAUGAGGAUAAAUCGCAGGCAUUUUUGGAGAAAGUCUGAGAAAAGCUUAGACUUCAAUGCAACACAUAACAUCUCCUGAGCCAUAUGUGAGCAUUCCUCUGGCUAUAAUAUACUUUUUUGUCAUGGCGCAGCUGUGCUUGUGAAUAGUGAUACAGGACAGACUGGUGUGUAUGAUAAUGUUUGAAGCUUCUGUAGAAGCAGUCACCCUCCAUUUCAUUCUGGCCAGGGGCAACCAUCCCGCCCCCUUGGCCCCGUCAGGGCCAGAAUUCCUCCACGGGCGUGUGUGCAAUCCACGCUGGGAUUGCUUCAGACAAAGGUGGCACACGUGCCAGCUGCAUGCCUAUCCCACCUAAAGCGACACAUUUGUUCCCCUUCCUCUGCCUCGUCGGUCCACCCGGGCCCCGUGUCGGCCCCAGCGCUAGAGUGGCCCCUCGGGAGACUGGAAAGUGAAUAAAGGAAAUGCUUUUCGUAUCUAAUGCCUUUUCCAAGCAUAUUGUGGGUUUUAGAAACAGAAGCAAAUCCAUUUGCUGAACAGCUGCACCUCUGUACUGAACAGAUAACAAGGAGGACCAGCCCGGCUCUGCAGCGAGUCGAGGCUGAUAGGCCCAAAUCUCUGGCCUUUUUUUGAAAAUGCUAAUGACGAAGGAACGCGUCCCAAGCCAAAAGCGCUCUUGUAGAUCUGUCAAUUGCUCUUUUGACAGAUAUUUGCUUGUAAGUACACACAACACUUGUUCCCUGUGUCUUAUCUGUGGCGCUGCAGAACACUGACCUACAUUGCAUCGAGCACAAUGUGCGCUCGAACCCUCGCCGCUCGAUACCAUUUUUCAUUUUUUUUACCUUAAAAGCGCGUGGAGCUCAACGAAAUGGCUCAAAAAUCCAAUAAACCAAAGGUAUUCUUUCUUAAAUAAGAA
Molecule: long non-coding RNA, 998 nt
Organism: Misgurnus anguillicaudatus (oriental weatherfish)
Lineage: Eukaryota; Metazoa; Chordata; Actinopteri; Cypriniformes; Cobitidae
Source: RefSeq, a predicted model, not a curated record